GAUGAACGCUGGCGGCGUGCCUAAUACAUGCGAGUCGAGCGAACAGACGAGGAGCUUGCUCCUCUGACGUUAGCGGCGGACGGGUGAGUAACACGUGGAUAACCUACCUAUAAGACUGGGAUAACUUCGGGAAACCGGAGCUAAUACCGGAUAAUAUAUUGAACCGCAUGGUUCAAUAGUGAAAGACGGUUUUGCUGUCACUUAUAGAUGGAUCCGCGCCGCAUUAGCUAGUUGGUAAGGUAACGGCUUACCAAGGCAACGAUGCGUAGCCGACCUGAGAGGGUGAUCGGCCACACUGGAACUGAGACACGGUCCAGACUCCUACGGGAGGCAGCAGUAGGGAAUCUUCCGCAAUGGGCGAAAGCCUGACGGAGCAACGCCGCGUGAGUGAUGAAGGUCUUCGGAUCGUAAAACUCUGUUAUUAGGGAAGAACAAAUGUGUAAGUAACUAUGCACGUCUUGACGGUACCUAAUCAGGAAGCCACGGCUAACUACGUG
RNAcentral lists this ribosomal RNA (497 nucleotides) under uncultured bacterium. RNAcentral's name for it is "partial 16S ribosomal RNA". It matches the Rfam family "Bacterial small subunit ribosomal RNA", at positions 28 to 507 of the family's 1533-position model. The record is from RNAcentral.